AUUCACCCCUUCAUGUCACUGACACUUGGUACAGUCUGAUUGUUUACUUCCUGUAUUUAAGAGCUCUGUUUUAGGGUGACCAUGUUUUGCCAGGCCCUAAGAAGAUGUUUCUCUGCCAGCGGAUUUGGAUUUUCUUAACUGAGUUUCCUGGCUGCAGCCUGCGGUGCACUGAGGGUCGUCUUCUUUUUGCAGAACAGGAGCAAUGCUGUAGCUCAUAUUUUCGCUGACAAAAGAGGUGACAGUGAAAGGAAAGUGAAAAGGCUAUAAUAAAUGCUAUGGGAAAGGUACAAGGAAGAAAGUGUGGCGUUUGAAAAUGGAAGCCCCCUCGUGUUUGUGUCUGCCAGAAGCCGGGGGCCGGCGCUGCGGCCUUGUUCAGACUUGUUG
Molecule: long non-coding RNA, 384 nt
Organism: Eleginops maclovinus (Patagonian blennie)
Lineage: Eukaryota; Metazoa; Chordata; Actinopteri; Perciformes; Eleginopidae
Exons: 4
Source: RefSeq, a predicted model, not a curated record